GCCCCUGUAGAGUAAUGGAUAUCACGUUGGACUUCUAAUCCAAAGAUCGUAGGUUCGAAUCCCACCUGGGAUGGCA
This 76-nucleotide transfer RNA is filed under the name Trichonephila inaurata madagascariensis. RNAcentral describes it as "tRNA-Arg". It matches the Rfam family "tRNA". Rfam says of the family: Transfer RNA (tRNA) molecules are approximately 80 nucleotides in length. Their secondary structure includes four short double-helical elements and three loops (D, anti-codon, and T loops). Further hydrogen bonds mediate the characteristic L-shaped molecular structure. tRNAs have two regions of fundamental functional importance: the anti-codon, which is responsible for specific mRNA codon recognition, and the 3' end, to which the tRNAs corresponding amino acid is attached (by aminoacyl-tRNA synthetases). tRNAs cope with the degeneracy of the genetic code in two manners: having more than one tRNA (with a specific anti-codon) for a particular amino acid; and 'wobble' base-pairing, i.e. permitting non-standard base-pairing at the 3rd anti-codon position. Lineage: Eukaryota; Metazoa; Arthropoda; Arachnida; Araneae; Nephilidae. The record is from RNAcentral.